GAUGAACGCUGGCGGCGUGCCUAAUACAUGCAAGUCGAGCGAACAGACGAGGAGCUUGCUCCUCUGACGUUAGCGGCGGACGGGUGAGUAACACGUGUAUAACCUACCUAUAAGACUGGGAUAACUUCGGGAAACCGGAGCUAACACCGGAUAAUAUAUUGAACCGCAUGGUUGAAUAGUGAAAGACGGUUUUGCUGUCACUUAUAGAUGGAUCCGCGCCGCAUUAGCUAGUUGGUAAGUUAACGGCUUAUCAAGGCGACGAUGCGUAGCCGACCUGAGAGGGUGAUCGGCCACACUGGAACUGAGACACGGUCCAGACUCCUACGGGAGGCAGCAGUAGGGAAUCUUCCGCAAUGGGCGAAAGCCUGACGGAGCAACGCCGCGUGAGUGAUGAAGGUCUUCGGAUCGUAAAACUCUGUUAUUAGGGAAGAACAAAUGUGUAAGUAACUAUGCACGUCUUGACGGUACCUGAUCAGAAAGCCACGGCUAACUACGUG
This 497-nucleotide ribosomal RNA is filed under the name uncultured bacterium. Its description in RNAcentral is "partial 16S ribosomal RNA". It matches the Rfam family "Bacterial small subunit ribosomal RNA", at positions 28 to 507 of the family's 1533-position model. The record is from RNAcentral.